UGCUCUGACAAUGGGCAGAGAGACACCUUGUUGGUUGUGCUGUUGUUCUAUCAGUCAGGAGCAGAACAAAUGUCAGUCCUUUGUUCAUCCUAACUUGAUGUCUGGCUUGAUGGCCAAAGCUGUUUUAUACUUAGGACACAUAA
Small nucleolar RNA from Rattus norvegicus (Norway rat), 143 nucleotides. Ensembl annotates it as small nucleolar RNA SNORA48. NCBI's taxonomy places the organism in Eukaryota, Metazoa, Chordata, Mammalia, Rodentia, Muridae. The record is from Ensembl.